CGGCCAACAUCAGCAGGGGCGAGCUGUAGCCCAUGCAACAACAGCCAGGCAAGCUGACCAGCCUGAUGCGGUUGUCACAGGAGCGCGAGGCGUCGGUCAAGAGUGGGCGUGAUCAGAAGGGAAGUGUCACAGAGAAAUGGGUUGUCCCGGGGCGUCAGUCCAGUCUUAGUCUUUAUUUUUGUAUUCGCAUUCUUUUGAAAUUUAUUUUCCAAACGGUCUUGUGUUCUGUGUUUAUCGUUCGAAAAACUUUAUUGAAAUUUGAUGAUUUUCGCUACUUCAUAUUUAAAUCUCUUGUGCA
Non-coding RNA from Cucurbita pepo subsp. pepo (vegetable marrow), 298 nucleotides. The record is from RefSeq and is a predicted model, not a curated record. Lineage: Eukaryota; Viridiplantae; Streptophyta; Magnoliopsida; Cucurbitales; Cucurbitaceae.